AUACGUAGGGGGCGAGCGUUGUCCGGAAUUAUUGGGCGUAAAGGGUUCGCAGGCGGUCCUUUAAGUCAGGUGUGAAAGGUCACGGCUCAACCGUGGUAAGCACUUGAAACUGGAGGACUUGAGUUAAGGAGAGGAAAGUGGAAUUCCUAGUGUAGCGGCGAAAUGCGUAGAUAUUAGGAGGAAUACCAGUGGCGAAGGCGACUUUCAGGACUUAUACUGACGCUGAGGAACGAAAGCGUGGGGAGCAAACAGGAUUAGAUACCCUGGUAGUCCACGCCGUAAACGAUGAGUGCUAGGUGUUGGGGGUCAAACCUCGGUGCCGCAGCUAACGCAUUAAGUACUCCGCCUGGGGAGUACGUACGCAAGUAUGAA
RNAcentral lists this ribosomal RNA (372 nucleotides) under uncultured bacterium. RNAcentral's name for it is "bacterial SSU rRNA". It matches the Rfam family "Bacterial small subunit ribosomal RNA", at positions 523 to 898 of the family's 1533-position model. The record is from RNAcentral.